AGCGGCUGCGGCCAAGGCCCAGUUUGACAAGUUCGUGUUGGACAAGACGGAGGAGAAAGCGGCCUUUGACCUGGUGCUGGAAAAGACGGCGGCUGAGGCGGCGGCACAGAAGGCCAUUGCUGACAAGGCGUUAGUUGACUUCGGCGAGCUGCAGGUAUUGUGCUUGGGGAAGGGUCUCGCGUACUUCGAGGAGGUCUGGAUUGAUAAUCACCCCAAAUUCUGCUGCUCACGAGCAGGAGUCUUCAACGGCUGCUAAGGCCCAGUUUGACAAGUUCGUAUUGGACAAGGCGGAGGAGAAAGCGGCCUUUGACUUGGUGCUGGAGAAGACGACGGCUGAGGCGGCGGCACAGAAGGCCAUUGCUGACAAGGCGUUAGUGGACUUCGGCGAGCUGCAGGUAUUGUGCUUGGGGAAGGGUCUCGCGUACUUCGAGGAGGUCUGGAUUGAUAAUCACCCCAAAUUCUGCUGCUCACGAGCAGGAGUCUUCAACUGCCGCCAAGGCCCAGUUUGACAAGUUCGUGUUGGACAAGGCGGAGGAGAAAGCGGCCUUUGAUCUGGUGCUGGAGAAGACCACAGCUGAGGCGGCGGCACAGAAGGCCAUUGCUGACAAGGCGUUAGUGGACUUCGGCGAGCUGCAGGUAUUGUGCUUGGGGAAGGGUCUCGCGUACUUCGAGGAGGUCUGGAUUGAUAAUCACCCCAAAUUCUGCUGCUCACGAGCAGGAGUCUUCAACUGCCGCCAAGGCCCAGUUUGACAAGUUCGUGUUGGACAAGGCGGAGGAGAAAGCGGCCUUUGAUCUGGUGCUGGAGAAGACGACAGCUGAGGCGGCGGCACAGAAGGCCAUUGCUGACAAGGCGUUAGUGGACUUCGGCGAGCUGCAGGUAUUCUGCUUGGGAAAGGGUCUCGCGUACUUCGAGGAGGUCUAUUAUUGAUAAUUAACCCAAAAUUGGCUGCUCACGAGCAGGAGUCUUCAACUGCCGCCAAGGCCCAGUUUGACAAGUUCGUGUUGGACAAGGCGGAGGAGAAAGCGGCCUUUGACUUGGUGCUGGAGAAGACGACGGCUGAGGCGGCGGCACAGAAGGCCAUUGCUGACAAGGCGUUAGUGGACUUCGGCGAGCUGCAGGUAUUCUGCUUGGGAAAGGGUCUCGCGUACUUCGAGAAGGUUUGUUUUGAUAAUUAACCCAAAAUUGGCUGCUCACGAGCAGGAGUCUUCAACUGCUGCUAAGGCCCAGUUUGACAAGUUCGUGUUGGACAAGGCGGAGGAGAAAGCGGCCUUUGAUCUUGGUGCUGGAGAAGACGACAGCUGAGGCGGCGGCACAGAAGGCCAUUGCUGACAAGGCGUUAGUGGACUUCGGCGAGCUGCAGGUAUUGUGCUUGGGAAAGGGUCUCGCGUACUUCGAGGAGGUCUGUUUUGAUUAUCACCCCAAAUAUUGCUGCUCACAAGCAGGAGUCUUCAACGGCUGCCAAGGCCCAGUUUGACAAGUUCGUGUUGGACAAGGCGGAGGAGAAAGCGGCCUUUGACUUGGUGCUGGAGAAGACGACAGCUGUGGCGGCGGCACAGAAGGCCAUUGCUGACAAGGCGUUAGUGGACUUCGGCGAGCUGCAGGUAUUCUGCUUGGGAAAGGGUCUCGCGUACUUCGAGAAGGUUUGUUUUGAUUAUUAACCCAAAAUUGGCUGCUCACAAGCAGGAGUCUUCAACGGCUGCUAAGGCCCAGUUUGACAAGUUCGUGUUGGACAAGGCGGAGGAGAAAGCGGCCUUUGACCUGGUGCUGGAGAAGACGACAGCUGAGGCGGCGGCACAGAAGGCCAUUGCUGACAAGGCGUUAGUGGACUUCGGGGAGCUGCAGGUUAGCGCAUGCACAUCUGGUCCAGGGUUUCGUAUGCAGGUCAACCUUUCUUGACCAUGUUGAAUAUUGAUUAGUAUCCGCGUGUGCUUAUUCCCGACGCUUUAGUGCCUUCACUGCUUGCGGUGUGUUCGCGCUGAUGUGCCGGAUUACCGGGCGUUUUAUCCUUAUCCCGCUCGCUGUCUGCAUCAUACUGGUAUGGUCCUUUCCCUCAGCAUUUGCCCAUUACCGAGGCUGAGGUUGGCGGUUAGUAGUAGGCACAGCGGGAAAGCGAUGCCCCUUUCACACCUGGGAAGUGUCGAUUCGUGCGCAUUUCGUGCUGCCGUAGGAGUCCGCCGCAACCACCAAGUCCCAGUUCGACAAGUUCGUGGCGGACAAGGCUGAGGAGAAAGCUGUCUUUGAUCACCUUCUGGAACAGACAGUGGCAGAGGUUGCGGCACAUAAGGCCAUUGCCGACAAGGCGCUGGUGGAUAUGGACGAAAUGCAGGUGAGAGGUCAACAAGUCUUUGGAUUUUUUCGGCACGGGAUUAUGGCUACGGGUGAACAAGAUUAGAUGCAAGGGAGACCUGGCACAUUGGCCGCUUAAGUAGUCACCGCAUCUGUGACAUUGGGAAAGGCCGAGAGGUGCCUGCUUCGCACUGUGUGUCUUCAGGUCUCAUCACUCCCGGCAUUCAUGUAGCCCCAUAUGGGCCUGCUUAAGGGUUCUGCCUCACGUGCAUUAGGGUUUUAUUCCCUAGAGAAGAGUGUGAUAAGAGUCGCCGCUUUUUGUGGCCGUCCCUUUCUGCGUGUAGCAAGCCGCCACGUGCACCAAGGCCCAGUUUGACAAGUUCGUGUUGGACAAGACGGAGGAGAAAGCGGCCUUUGACCUGGUGCUGGAGAAGACGACAGCUGAGGCGGCGGCGCAGAAGGCCCUUGCUGACAAGGCGUUAGUGGAUUUCUCCGAGCAAAAAGCCAUCGCCGAUAAGGCUCUAGUAGACUUUAGCGAGCUGCAGGUGAGUAGCUAACAAACGGCGAACAUGGGAUUGAAACCUCGCUGGCAGCUGGAUGACAAAGUCGGAGUCAUUUGGCAGGUUCUCCGUCGCGCCAGGCAUCGCCUGGCGUCCCUCGAUGUCUCCUGUUAAAGUGAUCCAUAUUCAACCCAUUGUCCGAGGUGUACCGAAGACCACACAGUCGGCAUUACCCGUCUCCUUGGGUCCGGCCUGCCGUUACCAGGUUGCCGGCAGAAAGGGUGAAUGCAUGCACAUGUAUGUGCGCACGCACGCACGCUCUUUACGGCCGCGGUUGCGAUCUAUCCUCUUUCUUACUCCUUAACCGAAGGCCUCUGCGGAAGCUGACAAGGCGGGCCAUGACAAGGUGCUGCUGGACCUUGCGG
RNAcentral lists this long non-coding RNA (3212 nucleotides) under Volvox carteri. Its description in RNAcentral is "long non-coding RNA (VCAR_LNC001007)". Lineage: Eukaryota; Viridiplantae; Chlorophyta; Chlorophyceae; Chlamydomonadales; Volvocaceae. The record is from RNAcentral.